Long non-coding RNA from Eufriesea mexicana, 872 nucleotides. RefSeq lists it as uncharacterized. The transcript has 4 exons. Lineage: Eukaryota; Metazoa; Arthropoda; Insecta; Hymenoptera; Apidae. The record is from RefSeq and is a predicted model, not a curated record.
AAUUAAUUAAGUGCCAUCUUAAUUUGUUAUUAUAAGUGUAAUAUUAUAUAUAAUAGUGGGAUAUCUUAGGAACAAGCUAGAAUCCCUUGGGACAUCGGGAUUCAACAUUUAGAAAUACGGAGACAUGGAACUACAUUUCCUGCAAUUGUAAUGACCAUGAUAUUUUGGAGUAAUAUGGCUUGGAGUUCACGACCCGAGGAACAAGAGAAUCAAGAUUUCAAAAAUUCGAUAAUUUAAAUUCUCAAAACUCGAGAUAUUUUAACACGUAUUCCAGUGCUUCGGUUUAUAAAUAUCAAGGUAUUCAAGUGAGUGCAGAUAUUCUUUAGUACGUUAUUCAUUCGAGGAUUUAAGGAUUUAAGACUCAUUAUGUCCAUGAAGUGACCAAAAGAAAAAUAGAAAGAAAGAAAACAGGCACGUCCCUAUACAUCAAUGUAUUUCUACCCCUUGCCAAGAGAGCCGACUACUCGAUUUUAAUCCUACACAAUCCCACAGGACAUUCAGCAUCCUCGUCUCUCCAUCUGUAUCCAUGGACCGUCUGUCUUCCUCUAAUCUCGGUGACACUUCUGCCUCUCCACACUGAUCCCGCAACAGUGGCCCAAAGUCUUCAUUGUGAUUUCUCGUACGGCGGAUCCACCCUCGCGUAACCUCUCCAUUGGUUCAUGUGGGAAAGUCGGCCAACGUCGCCAGGAUUUCGUUCGAAGAAUGCCAGGCAUUACGAGCACUCGUCUUCUGGGCGUCAACUUAUAGAGCGCAGGUCAGCCGCAAAACUCACUGCAUCUAACAUCGUCAGAAAUCCACAAAAUCAUCGCCACGAUUUAGCGAAUAAAGCUCUUAAUCGACCGCGACGAAGUUUACCGGUAGCAACUGAUCGA